CUAUGGGUGGCACCAGUGGGGAAUAUUGCACAAUGGAGGAAACUCUGAUGCAGCAACGCCGCGUGGAGGAUGACACUUUUCGGAGCGUAAACUCCUUUUAUAUAGGAAGAAGAUGACGGUACUAUAUGAAUAAGCGCCGGCUAACUCCGUGCCAGCAGCCGCGGUAAUACGGAGGGCGCAAGCGUUACUCGGAAUCACUGGGCGUAAAGAGCGUGUAGGCGGAUUAAAAAGUCAGAAGUGAAAUCCUAUAGCUUAACUAUAGAACUGCUUCUGAAACUCUUAAUCUAGAAAAUGGGAGAGGUAGAUGGAAUUUCUGGUGUAGGGGUAAAAUCCGUAGAGAUCAGAAGGAAUACCGAUUGCGAAGGCGAUCUCCUGGAACAUUACUGACGCUAAGGCGUGAAAGCGUGGGGAGCAAACAGGACUAGAUACCCCAGUAGUC
Molecule: ribosomal RNA, 439 nt
Filed under: uncultured bacterium
Lineage: Bacteria
Description: partial 16S ribosomal RNA
Rfam family: Bacterial small subunit ribosomal RNA
Source: RNAcentral